Molecule: ribosomal RNA, 442 nt
Filed under: uncultured bacterium
Lineage: Bacteria
Description: partial 16S ribosomal RNA
Rfam family: Bacterial small subunit ribosomal RNA
Source: RNAcentral
CCUACGGGAGGCAGCAGUGGGGAAUAUUGGGCAAUGGGCGCAAGCCUGACCCAGCAACGCCGCGUGAAGGAAGAAGGCUCUCGGGUUGUAAACCUCGUUUAAGAGGGAAGAGCAGAAGACGGUACCUCUUGAAUAAGCCAUGGCUAACUACGUGCCAGCAGCCGCGGUAAUACGUAGGUGGCAAGCGUUGUCCGGAUUUACUGGGUGUAAAGGGCGUGCAGGCGGAGAGACAAGUCAGAUGUGAAAUCCACGGGCUCAACCCGUGAACUGCAUUUGAAACUGUUUCCCUUGAGUGUCGGAGAGGUAAUCGGAAUUCCUUGUGUAGCGGUGAAAUGCGUAGAUAUAAGGAAGAACACCAGUGGCGAAGGCGGAUUACUGGACUAUAACUGACGGUGAGGCGCGAAAGCGUGGGGAGCAAACAGGAUUAGAUACCCUAGUAGUC